CUCGCUCUUCUCGUCCACCGCACUACACAGCAAUGCACACAUGUCCUGCCAUCUCUGAAAGCAACCCCCCGAAACCCUGAGUGUUCCUCUGACCAGGUGUGAAAGUGCAAGAUUCAUCUCGGCUGACGAAAGAGGAAGAAGAUCCAAAGCUUGGAUUUUGUUUCAGACACGAAGCCCAGUAGCUGAUAAAUUGACAUUUCUGUUGCCGGGCUCGGCGGACGACUUCUUGAACAACAGUUCAUCAGGGUGUAUCUGGACUUUCUGAGAUACACAGCAGGCAGAGGGAGGGAUGAAACACUUUGGAGAAACUUUUCAGUAAUGCUCAAGGUGCAUGACUCCACUGGCUGAUGACUGCGGACUCUAGUGGCUAGAAAGCUGUCCAGCAUUAUCCAACAUCAAGCCAGGCGGACCAAACUUCUGAAGAGCUGCUGUUUCUUGAAAACUUGUCCGUGGCGAAGAGAAGAUGAAGAGCGGCAGUUCAACUUUAGUCCGAGCCUUCCCUUCUUUACGUCUGAUUCAUACCGACACCUCCCUCUCUACAGAUAUAACAGAGAGGACUACAGGAAACUAUACUUUAAUGUUACAGGGAACCAUCAAAGCUAAGUCUUAGCUUCCCUUUUUCUUUACUUCUUCCGUUAGGUAGGUCAAACAUGUCAUAUUCAAGAAAAUGGUUUAAGAAUGUCACACCUCCGCAGAGGCCCAACUGUCCCCGUAAAUUCAAUCAAGCUGCACCAAAUUGCUCACACUUAAAGAUACUACAGCCCGAAAUAUGCUUGAUUUUUCAUGGAGAUCACUAAGUUAGCCCUCGGGGAAUCUAUGAAAAUGUCAAAAAAUAAAAAAAGAUCCUGGAUCUGCAUUCAAAUGAAAGUUGUUUCUCAGCCCAAGUCCCAACUUUCCACCAAGUUUUGUGGGAAUCUCUUCAGUCGUUUUUGUGUAAUCAUGCAAAUCCCAAGUAUUUGAUGCUUAUGGAUCCAAUUUCCCCAAUUUCCCCCCGUGGAUCAAUAAAGUAUUUCUGAUUCUGAUCCGUGAGCCAA
This is a long non-coding RNA of Scophthalmus maximus (turbot), 1034 nucleotides long. RefSeq lists it as uncharacterized. The record is from RefSeq and is a predicted model, not a curated record. NCBI's taxonomy places the organism in Eukaryota, Metazoa, Chordata, Actinopteri, Pleuronectiformes, Scophthalmidae. The transcript is spliced from 2 exons.